Molecule: ribosomal RNA, 836 nt
Rfam family: Eukaryotic large subunit ribosomal RNA
GAUUGCCUCAGUAACGGCGAGUGAAGCGGCAACAGCUCAAAUUUGAAAUCUGGCCCCCUCGGGGUCCGAGUUGUAAUUUGGAGAGGAUGCUUCGGGUGUGGCCCCGGUCUAAGUUCCUUGGAACAGGACGUCACAGAGGGUGAGAAUCCCGUACGUGCCCGGUGGCCGCCCCCGUGUGAAGCUCCUUCGACGAGUCGAGUUGUUUGGGAAUGCAGCUCAAAAUGGGUGGUAAAUUUCAUCUAAAGCUAAAUAUUGGCCAGAGACCGAUAGCGCACAAGUAGAGUGAUCGAAAGAUGAAAAGCACUUUGGAAAGAGAGUUAAACAGUACGUGAAAUUGUUGAAAGGGAAGCGCUGGCAACCAGACUUGCGCGGGGUCGAUCAUCCGGUGUUCGCACCGGUGCACUCGGCCCCGCGCAGGCCAGCAUCGGUCUGGGCGGCUGGAUAAAGGCCUUGGGAAUGUGGCUCUCUUCGGGGAGUGUUAUAGCCCAAGGUGCAAUGCAGCCCGCCUGGACCGAGGACCGCGCUCCGGCUAGGAUGCUGGCGUAAUGGUUGUCAGCGACCCGUCUUGAAACACGGACCAAGGAGUCUAACAUCUAUGCGAGUGUUUGGGUGUCAAACCCAUACGCGUAAUGAAAGUGAACGGAGGUGAGAACCCUUAAGGGUGCAUCAUCGACCGAUCCUGAUGUCUUCGGAUGGAUUUGAGUAAGAGCAUAGCUGUUGGGACCCGAAAGAUGGUGAACUAUGCCUGAAUAGGGUGAAGCCAGAGGAAACUCUGGUGGAGGCUCGCAGCGGUUCUGACGUGCAAAUCGAUCGUCAAAUUUGGGCAUAGGGGCGAA